UACGUAGGGUCCGAGCGUUGUCCGGAAUUACUGGGCGUAAAGAGCUCGUAGGUGGUUUGUCGCGUUGUUCGUGAAAACUCACAGCUUAACUGUGGGCGUGCGGGCGAUACGGGCAGACUGGAGUACUGCAGGGGAGACUGGAAUUCCUGGUGUAGCGGUGAAAUGCGUAGAUAUCUGGAGGAACACCGGUGGCGAAGGCGGCAUCCUGGACCGGUAUUGACGCUGAGGCGCGAAAGCCAGGGGAGCAAACGGG
RNAcentral lists this ribosomal RNA (253 nucleotides) under uncultured bacterium. RNAcentral describes it as "partial 16S ribosomal RNA". It matches the Rfam family "Bacterial small subunit ribosomal RNA", at positions 524 to 776 of the family's 1533-position model. The record is from RNAcentral.